Molecule: long non-coding RNA, 797 nt
Filed under: Prunus persica (peach)
Lineage: Eukaryota; Viridiplantae; Streptophyta; Magnoliopsida; Rosales; Rosaceae
Description: long non-coding RNA (PPER_LNC008449)
Source: RNAcentral
GAAAACCAAGAAGUUCAUCUAUUUCUGGUAAGUCGUCCUAAAUUUUGUUCAUGCACUAUGCUUGUCUUUGUUCUGCAUGCGUAUAGUCCUUGGUUUUUUGUUUUUGGAGAGUAGAUUCAAUACAAUAGAAGGGCUGAAAGAAUUAAGAAAUUCGUUGAAAAAAAGCCGACUACUUCAGAAACAGGAUGAUCACUAGCCCUCUUCUCUUGACCUCCUUCACUGGAUCGGAUUCCAUACGGAUUUAGGGGUUGUUCAUGCACUGUGCUUGUCUUUGUUCUGUAUGCGUAGUCCUUGGUGUUUUGUUUUUGGGUCUCUUCUUUCUGUGUGUGUGUUUAUUUUGAUGGCUUCUCUCAUUUUCUUAGCAGCCACUUGAUGGCUCAAGAGGCCCCAGUUCACCUACUAGAAAUUCCAGAGGACAUAUUUCAAUAUAUAUGCCGGAAACUAUCAUUGGGUACACUCCUGCGAUGCAGGAGAUUGUCAAGAGAAUUUCUUUUUUAAACUCUCUAAAACCGACCUCGGUUUAGACAACCUGCUGCUAGUACAUGCACCAGGUAACAGGAAUUAUGAAGGGAUAUACCCCCAUGGGGAGCAUCAUGUUGCACUUGGAGGGAUUCCUAUCUCAGUUUGUUCAAAUUCAGUUGUGCACGAGCCCCUUGCCUCUUCUUGUACACUAUUGCAGCCAUCUUCCUAGUUAUAGAGCAUUAGCUCUCUCGACUACCACAAGUUUGUGUGUUGCUUAGUUAGAGAUGGAGCCAAGAUUUAUCAAUGUCCACUACUGUGUCUGUUGUGACUGAUUU